ACAAUAUUACUAUGCACGACUUCUGUUGAUUUUAUUCUUUCUUCCUGUUACAGAGUUGUUAAUGGACCCCUUGAAAGCAUUUUUUCUGAUCUUGCUUUAGAUACAUUAGCUGAAGUGUGUAGGUGGAACUCUGUGCAUAAGUAGUUUGGAGGGGAUGUGAUAGGGAAUGAUUUUGUGGGCAAAGGCAGUUUUCUUAUGCUUUUUAUUUGUAUUUUGAAUGUGUAAAAUUUAAUAUUUUGGUUUUAUAAAGUUUUACGAGAUUGAAACAGGUUUGGGCUAA
This is a long non-coding RNA of Brassica napus (rape), 280 nucleotides long. RefSeq lists it as uncharacterized. The transcript has 2 exons. The record is from RefSeq and is a predicted model, not a curated record. NCBI's taxonomy places the organism in Eukaryota, Viridiplantae, Streptophyta, Magnoliopsida, Brassicales, Brassicaceae.